Molecule: small nuclear RNA, 108 nt
Filed under: Vicugna pacos (alpaca)
Lineage: Eukaryota; Metazoa; Chordata; Mammalia; Artiodactyla; Camelidae
Source: RNAcentral
GUGCUCACUUCGGCAGCACAUAUACUAAAGUUGGAAAGAUACAGAGAAGAUUAGCAUGGCCCCUGCACAAGGAUGACAUGCAAAUUUUGUGAAGCAUUCCAUAUUUUU